CCCGACUCCUACGGGAGGCAGCAGUAAGGAAUAUUGGUCAAUGGACGCAAGUCUGAACCAGCCAUGCCGCGUGGAGGAUGAAGGCCCUCUGGGUUGUAAACUUCUUUUACUGGGGAAGAAACCCAUCUUUUCUAAGGUGGUUGACGGUACCCGAUGAAUAAGCACCGGCUAACUCCGUGCCAGCAGCCGCGGUAAUACGGAGGGUGCAAGCGUUAUCCGGAUUCACUGGGUUUAAAGGGUGCGUAGGUGGGCAGGUAAGUCAGUGGUGAAAUCUCCGGGCUUAACCCGGAAACUGCCGUUGAUACUAUUUGUCUUGAAUGUAGUGGAGGUGAGCGGAAUAUGUCAUGUAGCGGUGAAAUGCUUAGAUAUGACAUAGAACACCAAUUGCGAAGGCAGCUCGCUACACUAUUAUUGACACUGAGGCACGAAAGCGUGGGGAUCAAACAGGAUUAGAUACCCUGGUAGUCCACGCCCUAAACGAUGGAUACUCGACAUCAGCGAUACACAGUUGGUGUCUGAGCGAAAGCAUUAAGUAUCCCACCUGGGAAGUACGACCGCAAGG
This 562-nucleotide ribosomal RNA is filed under the name uncultured bacterium. Its description in RNAcentral is "bacterial SSU rRNA". It matches the Rfam family "Bacterial small subunit ribosomal RNA", at positions 331 to 893 of the family's 1533-position model. The record is from RNAcentral.